This 539-nucleotide ribosomal RNA is filed under the name uncultured Glomeromycotina. Its description in RNAcentral is "SSU rRNA". It matches the Rfam family "Eukaryotic small subunit ribosomal RNA", at positions 552 to 1096 of the family's 1831-position model. The record is from RNAcentral. Lineage: Eukaryota; Fungi; Glomeromycota.
AGGGCAAGUCUGGUGCCAGCAGCCGCGGUAAUUCCAGCUCCAAUAGCGUAUAUUAAAGUUGUUGCAGUUAAAAAGCUCGUAGUUGAAUUUCGGGAUCAAUUUACUGGUCGUGCAAUCGUACGUACUGGUUUUAUUGAUUCCUCUCUUCUGAAGAACUAUGAUGUCAUUAAUUUGGUGUCAUAGGGAAUCAGGACUGUUACUUUGAAAAAAUUAGAGUGUUUAAAGCAGGCUCACGCUUGAAUACAUUAGCAUGGAAUAACGAAAUAGGACGUUUGAUUCUAUUUUGUUGGUUUCUAGGAUCGACGUAAUGAUUAAUAGGGAUAGUUGGGGGCAUUAGUAUUCAAUUGUCAGAGGUGAAAUUCUUGGAUUUAUUGAAGACUAACUACUGCGAAAGCAUUUGCCAAGGAUGUUUUCAUUAAUCAAGAACGAAAGUUAGGGGAUCGAAGACGAUCAGAUACCGUCGUAGUCUUAACCAUAAACUAUGCCGACUAGGGAUCGGAUGAUGUUAAAUUAAUGACUCAUUCGGCGCCUUACGGGAA